This 1554-nucleotide ribosomal RNA is filed under the name Salmonella enterica subsp. enterica serovar Schwarzengrund. Its description in RNAcentral is "bacterial SSU rRNA". It matches the Rfam family "Bacterial small subunit ribosomal RNA". The record is from RNAcentral. Lineage: Bacteria; Pseudomonadati; Pseudomonadota; Gammaproteobacteria; Enterobacterales; Enterobacteriaceae.
AAAUUGAAGAGUUUGAUCAUGGCUCUGAUUGAACGCUGGCAGCAGGCCUAACACAUGCAAGUCGAACGGUAACAGGAAGCAGCUUGCUGCUUCGCUAACGUGUGGCGGACGGAUGAGUAAUGUCUGGGAAACUGCCUUAUGGAGGGGGAUAACUACUGGAAACGGUGGCUAAUACCGCAUAACGUCGCAAGACCAAAGAGGGGGACCUUCGGGCCUCUUGCCAUCAGAUGUGCCCAGAUGGGAUUAGCUUGUUGGUGAGGUAACGGCUCACCAAGGCGACGAUCCCUAGCUGGUCUGAGAGGAUGACCAGCCACACUGGAACUGAGACACGGUCCAGACUCCUACGGGAGGCAGCAGUGGGGAAUAUUGCACAAUGGGCGCAAGCCUGAUGCAGCCAUGCCGCGUGUAUGAAGAAGGCCUUCGGGUUGUAAAGUACUUUCAGCGGGGAGGAAGGUGUUGUGGUUAAUAACCGCAGCAAUUGACGUUACCCGCAGAAGAAGCACCGGCUAACUCCGUGCCAGCAGCCGCGGUAAUACGGAGGGUGCAAGCGUUAAUCGGAAUUACUGGGCGUAAAGCGCACGCAGGCGGUCUGUCAAGUCGGAUGUGAAAUCCCCGGGCUCAACCUGGGAACUGCAUUCGAAACUGGCAGGCUUGAGUCUUGUAGAGGGGGGUAGAAUUCCAGGUGUAGCGGUGAAAUGCGUAGAGAUCUGGAGGAAUACCGGUGGCGAAGGCGGCCCCCUGGACAAAGACUGACGCUCAGGUGCGAAAGCGUGGGGAGCAAACAGGAUUAGAUACCCUGGUAGUCCACGCCGUAAACGAUGUCUACUUGGAGGUUGUGCCCUUGAGGCGUGGCUUCCGGAGCUAACGCGUUAAGUAGACCGCCUGGGGAGUACGGCCGCAAGGUUAAAACUCAAAUGAAUUGACGGGGGCCCGCACAAGCGGUGGAGCAUGUGGUUUAAUUCGAUGCAACGCGAAGAACCUUACCUGGUCUUGACAUCCACAGAACUUUCCAGAGAUGGAUUGGUGCCUUCGGGAACUGUGAGACAGGUGCUGCAUGGCUGUCGUCAGCUCGUGUUGUGAAAUGUUGGGUUAAGUCCCGCAACGAGCGCAACCCUUAUCCUUUGUUGCCAGCGGUCCGGCCGGGAACUCAAAGGAGACUGCCAGUGAUAAACUGGAGGAAGGUGGGGAUGACGUCAAGUCAUCAUGGCCCUUACGACCAGGGCUACACACGUGCUACAAUGGCGCAUACAAAGAGAAGCGACCUCGCGAGAGCAAGCGGACCUCAUAAAGUGCGUCGUAGUCCGGAUUGGAGUCUGCAACUCGACUCCAUGAAGUCGGAAUCGCUAGUAAUCGUGGAUCAGAAUGCCACGGUGAAUACGUUCCCGGGCCUUGUACACACCGCCCGUCACACCAUGGGAGUGGGUUGCAAAAGAAGUAGGUAGCUUAACCUUCGGGAGGGCGCUUACCACUUUGUGAUUCAUGACUGGGGUGAAGUCGUAACAAGGUAACCGUAGGGGAACCUGCGGUUGGAUCACCUCCGUACCUUAAAGAAGC